GCCUGGGGAGUACGGCCGCAAGGCUAAAACUCAAAGGAAUUGACGGGGACCCGCACAAGCGGCGGAGCAUGCGGAUUAAUUCGAUGCAACGCGAAGAACCUUACCAAGGCUUGACAUACACGAGAACACUCUAGAAAUAGAGGACUCUUUGGACACUCGUGAACAGGUGGUGCAUGGUUGUCGUCAGCUCGUGUCGUGAGAUGUUGGGUUAAGUCCCGCAACGAGCGCAACCCUCGUUCUAUGUUGCCAGCACGUAAUGGUGGGAACUCAUGGGAUACUGCCGGGGUCAACUCGGAGGAAGGUGGGGAUGACGUCAAAUCAUCAUGCCCCUUAUGUCUUGGGCUUCACGCAUGCUACAAUGGCCGGUACAAAGGGCUGCAAUACCGUGAGGUGGAGCGAAUCCCAAAAAGCCGGUCCCAGUUCGGAUUGAGGUCUGCAACUCGACCUCAUGAAGUCGGAGUCGCUAGUAAUCGCAGAUCAGCAACGCUGCGGUGAAUACGUUCCCGGGUCUUGUACACACCGCCCGUCAAGUCAUGAAAGUCGGUAACACCUGAAGCCGGUGGCCUAAC
This 569-nucleotide ribosomal RNA is filed under the name Microbacterium sp. 71_c. Its description in RNAcentral is "bacterial SSU rRNA". It matches the Rfam family "Bacterial small subunit ribosomal RNA", at positions 871 to 1439 of the family's 1533-position model. Lineage: Bacteria; Bacillati; Actinomycetota; Actinomycetes; Micrococcales; Microbacteriaceae. The record is from RNAcentral.